RNAcentral lists this ribosomal RNA (207 nucleotides) under uncultured bacterium. RNAcentral describes it as "partial 16S ribosomal RNA". It matches the Rfam family "Bacterial small subunit ribosomal RNA", at positions 568 to 774 of the family's 1533-position model. The record is from RNAcentral.
CUCGUAGGCGGUCUGUUGCGUCCGCUGUGAAAUCUCGGGGCUUAACCCCGAGCCUGCAGUGGAUACGGGCAGACUAGAGGUAGGUAGGGGAGAAUGGAAUUCCUGGUGUAGCGGUGAAAUGCGCAGAUAUCAGGAGGAACACCGGUGGCGAAGGCGGUUCUCUGGGCCUUACCUGACGCUGAGGAGCGAAAGCGUGGGGAGCGAACA